UCCAAUGUGGUGUAGUGGCCAACAUUGCUGUCUUUCAUAGAGCAGCCGCCAAAAUGAAUAUCUUACACAGCAGCCCGGGGUUCGAUUCCCCGCAUUGGAA
Non-coding RNA from Lentinula novae-zelandiae, 100 nucleotides. Lineage: Eukaryota; Fungi; Basidiomycota; Agaricomycetes; Agaricales; Omphalotaceae. The record is from the annotation of a GenBank genome assembly.